UAAAAAUGACAUAACAUAACAAAAUAUAAUAAAUAUUAAAAUGUAGGAAAUCAGUCGUGUAAUAGGGCCCAAUCGACCCAGGCCCUACAAAUAAUAAAACAAACACAACAAAAGCAAUAGCAGGCCUAAUAUCGGGCCCAAUAGCCAAUUUCAACCCUAACUCAGCAAAAACAUUUGUUGAAACCCUAAGAGCCCCCAUAUGUCCUAG
This 208-nucleotide long non-coding RNA is filed under the name Gossypium barbadense (sea-island cotton). RNAcentral describes it as "long non-coding RNA (GBAR_LNC021115)". The record is from RNAcentral. Lineage: Eukaryota; Viridiplantae; Streptophyta; Magnoliopsida; Malvales; Malvaceae.